GCCCUUCUGUCGCCUCCACCUGCUCAGCUCACGGCCAGCCCUCAGGACCCAGCUCACACACGUUUCCUCUCUGCAACACCUGGCCCCUCAGGUGAGCCCCACGGCCUGGGUAGUGGUCCCCUGACCCUGUCUGCUUCUUGAGGGUGGGCCUGCUCCAGACAUGUCACCCCACCCAGCAAAUGCCUGCCAGCUUGGUUGGCAGUGACUCACCCUGGCUGCAGUCUUUCCAAGGCUCUGGGGGCCCCAGUGGGAGCAGGGAAGACGGGGCUCAGCACCCAGUGGUGCUAGGUAACCUGCCACAACAAGGGGAGGUGGCCAGCCCAGGGUCAGACCACAGAAGCAGUCAACCUGGGAGCUGAGCCCAGGAGUAUAGGUGCCAGAGCAGGGCCUUCACGCAUGCACACACAGACUCGCCAUCAAGCGCCGCAGCCCUGGAGCAGGGGCUGCGGCACAGACCCAGGGCUUUGGCGAGGCCACACUUCUCACAAGAAUGGCCCACAGAUGGGGUGCUGGACCUGCGCUGUGGGUCAUGAGCAUGGAGCAGGCCAAGCUCCCCUCAGGAGAGGGCCGGCUGCAUGGAGGCAGGAGGAGGGCAGAAGGAUGAAGGACCCAGUGUCCCCCCAGUGGGGCACCGCCCAGCACGGACACAGGCCACAUGGUGGGGGAGAAGGGCCAGUGCAGACACCCACAGGGCACAGCUGGAGUGGCCUUAGAAUGAAGCCACAUCCUGCAGAUGGGGACUGAGACACAGGCUGGGACACUGAAUCAGAGGUGGAGCUGGGCGGAGGCUCAGGACCCAGACAUCCAAGGAGAACAGGAGUCCUGGCCAAGAGGAAGGAAGAGUGGGUUCAAAUGCACCGACAGGUCCCAGCACAGGGACAGACACAAGACCAGUGGGAUGGAGCUGGGAGUCCAGGGACACACCAGGUGUCCAUGGCGAGUGAACGUCACCAGGAGUGCUGAGACCACUCAGGGGGAAGAACAGUCUCAUCAACAAAAGGUGGGGGACAACUGGAUUUCCACAUGCAAAGAACGGAGUGGGGCCCUGCCUCAGACUAACCCCUUAAGUUAACCAAAGUGGAGCAUAGACUUAAAACUAUGAAACUUUGGGGCCGGCCUGGUGGCACAGUGGUUAAGUGCGCACAUUCCACUUCAGAGGCCCAGGGUUCGCCGGUUCGGAUCCUGGGUGCGGACAUGGCACUGCUUGGCAAGCCAUGCUGUGGUAGGCAUCCCACAUAUAAAGUAGGGGAAGAUGGGCACGGAUGUUAGCUCAGGGCCAGUCUUCCUCAGCAAAAAGAGGAGGAUUGGCAAGAGAUGUUAGCUCAGGGCUAAUCUUCCUCAAAAAAACAAACAAACGAAAAACUACGAAACUCGUACAAGAAAACAUAGGAACAACUCUUCAUGACCUGGGAUUUGGCAUGGAUUCUUAGAUGACAUCAAAAGCACAAGCAAUAAAAGAGAAAUAAGUUGGACUUCACCAAAAUGGAAAACUUUUGUGCAUCCAACGUUGUUAAGAAAAUGAAAGUCAAUGUACAGAAUGGAAGAAAAUAUUUGCAGAUCACUUAUCUGAAAAGGGUCUAGUACACAGAAUAUAUAAAGAAUUGUUACAAAUUGGCAAUAAAAAGACAACCAACCAGUUAAAAAUGGGCAAAAGCCUUCAAUAGACAUUUCAAAGAAGACACACAAAUGACCAGCAAGCAGGUGAAAAGAAGCUUGUCAUCAGUCAUUAGGGACAUACAACCAAAACCACAACAAAGUGCCUUUCACACCUGCUGAGAGGACUAGAAUCAAAAAAAAACCCCAAAAGACGGAAAGCGACAAGUGUCAGCAAGGACACACAGGUGUUGGAAUCUGUGCACACUGCUGGUGGGAAUGUGAAAUGGUGUUUCCACUGUGGAAAACAGAGUGACGUUUUCUCAAAAAGUUAAAUACGAUAUUCCACAAGAUCCAGCAAUUCCACUCCUAGGGAAUGGAGCCCCUAGGACUGAAAACGGACGAGCAAACACAUGUUCACUCCAGUCCAUAGGCGCACCAUUCACAACAGCCGAAAGGUGGGAGCAGCAGUGUCCACCAAGGACGAAUGGAUAAAUGUUCCAUGGAAUAUCAGUCAGCCCUGAAAGGAAUGAGGCACCAACAUGCCACAGCACAGGUGAACCUUGAGGGCACUGUGCUCAGGAUGAGAAGCCAGGCAUGAGGCCGCAUGGUGUGUGAUCCCAUUCACAUGAAAAGCCCACAGCACGCAAAUCCACAGAGACAGAAAGCAGGCCGCUGACCGCCAGGGGUGGGAGGAGGAGGCAGAGGAGAAACUACUCGUGGACACGGGAUUUUAUUUUAUAGUAACAAAAAUGUUCUGGAGCCAGAUAGAAGAGGUGACUUUACAGCACUGUGAAUGCGCCAAAUACUGCCUGCUCAUCUCUCUACACCAAGGGCCUGCUCAUCUCCAUCUCCACCCAGGGCCUGCCCAUCUCCAGGUCCUCCCAGGGCCUGCUCAUCUCCAUCUCCACCCAGGGCCUGCCCAUCUCCAGGUCCUCCCAGGGCCUGCUCAUCUCCAUUUACACCAAGGGCCUGCCCAUCUCCAUCUCCACCCAGGGCCUGCCCAUCUCCAGGUCCUCCCAGGGCCUGCUCAUCUCCAUCUCCACCCAGGGCCUGCCCAUCUCCAGGUCCUCCCAGGGCCUGCUCAUCUCCAUUUACACCAAGGGCCUGCUCAUCUCCAGGUCCUCCCAGGGCCUGCUCAUCUCCAUCUACACCAAGGGCCUGCUCAUCUCCAUCUACACCCAGGGCCUGCCCAUCUCCAGGUCCUCCCAGGGCCUGCUCAUCUCCAUCUCCUCCCAGGGCCUGCCCAUCUCCAGGUCCUCCCAGGGCCUGCUCAUCUCUACCUACACCAAGGGCCUGCUCAUCUCCAUCUCCGCCCAGGGCCAGGCCAAUGCUAUCUCCCACCCUGGGCCACCAGCCCCUCCAAGGCCAGUGAUACCCUUCUCCAUGCCUCUGCCCACCCCUCACGGGAGCCUCAGAGGUGUCCACACUGGCCAGCACACUGAGGUCCCUCCCCUCCCAGGGCCCUGGCCACAACGUGGCCUUCUUAGCUAUCUCCCUCAGCUCCUCCACUGCACCCCAUUCCCCGGGGCACGCCCUCCAGACCCUCCCACAGGUGAGUCCUCCAGCCACAGAGCCCUUGGCCAGGGCCUGCUGCCAUGACGCAUGCCACUGCCUGGCUGUGUGGGUCGUGUGGAGCGAGGAACAAUUCUGUCUUUUUUCAAGGGAGCCAGGUAUGAUCUCUUCUGGAGAAAGGAGUUCACAUAUCACGGGCUUCAGAGUCAUCAACCUACAGAUCCAGUUCCCUGGCCUCCCAGGCUUCUGGCCUUGUUGUGGUGUCCAGUAAUUGGUAUUUGUGCCUUGCAGCCCAGGUGAGACAGCGAGGGGUCCGAGCCCCACAGACCCUCGGUGUGAGCCCAGGGGCUGGAGGGUGUCCUUCUGGCCUGGGGCAGCCACUCUCCCAGCCUCACAGAGCUGCAUCCCUGCGGUCCCUCCCUCGGGGCCCGGUGACUCCUGCAGACAAGCUGGGCUGCAGAAGAGCCUCCGCCCUCAACUGGCCCCUUGAGCUUAGAAUGCCCAGAAGCCACAGCUCCCCCGAGACGUUUGGAAGCCUGCUAGGCCAGGCAGAUCCUCUGCAGGGAGCCCCUCACAUCAAGUCACAUCAUGAGAGUGCUCCACAUGCCUACAUUUAGGGCAUGGCUUCUUGCUGCUAAAAUAUUUUUCAAAGGGACUUGUCUACGUUUGCUUUUGAAAUCAGUAGUUUCAAUUUAGCAACUUUCUUUCUGUAUUUAGAGGCCAGUACAUGCAUUUGGGGGUGUCAGGCAUCUUGGCAGUUCCUAGGAACGGCAGUAGGUCGCAGCACUGGGCAGUGGGGCCUGACCUGGCAAGUCCCAUCCUGGGGGACAAGGCACCCCUGACCUCCAAGGAGCUUUGCAAGUGGGCUUGAAAACAUAUUCAGACACAGAGACACAUGCUUACACAUGUGGAUCCAUGUACACAUGCACGUGUGGGUACUCACAUGUAGAUCUGUGUACACAUGUGGGUCCAUGUACAUGUGGGGAGAUACACACAUGCAGUUCCAUACACAGAGAGGCACACAUGUAGAUACAGGUACAUAGACACACGUAGGUGCAUGCACACAAGUAGAGACAUGCACAUACAUGUAGAUCCAUGCACACAUAGAUACACAUAUGGAUCCAUGCACACAGAGACACACAUGUAGGUCCAUGCACACACAUGAAGGUCCAUGCACACACAGACACAUGCAUGUGGGUCCGUGCACACAGAGACAUGCACACAUAGGUCCCUGCACAUGUAGGUCCAUGCUGACACAGACACACACGUAGGCCCAUGCACACACACAUAGGUCCAUGCACACAGAGACACAUGCACACACAGAUAUCCAUUUACUUCUAUAGGGUCACUCUCCUUCCUGAGCAGGGGUAGGGUGGGCUGGGAGAAGACAUGAGGAGCCUACCCCUCAGAAAGCCCACACUCUGGGUGCUAAGAUGGCCUUACGCCAAAGAAGAAAGGAAGCAGAGGUCCUAGACACUCCUGCUCUCCAGGCUUGUUGAGGAUGUUUGAAAUCACCUGCUUGGAGAGCCCCACCAUUCAGGACUUUCAGAAACUUUCAAGCGACAAAGCAGAGCCAAAGGCAGCAGCACUGGGUGAGACCUGGGGUGCCAGCCCACUUCUUUCCAGCCCUUCUGAGGGAUGGUGCUCAGGGAGCCAGUGGGCCGGGAGGCUCCCUGGAGGAGCAGCCUGAAUCAAACUCAGCAAAGGACUCGUCCCAGUGGGCUGGGGUUUGGGCCAAGCAUGGACAGCAGAAGAGGGCAGGAGCAGGGGGCCAGGCACCACUGGCAGAGAGAGGCCGGGCCCCUGCCCAGGGGGUCUCUGGGGAGGCAGGGAGAGGCCAGGAAGGGACUGCUGAGUUGAGCAUCCUGGACGGGGUGGGGAGUGCUGGCAAGGGUAGGGCAGGGCCUGGGCAGGACGUGGUGGCCAAGCUGGGGCUGUGAGAUCCAUGUGGGCAGAGCAGCUAGAUGCUGGAGGUGCCUGGGAGAGCCCAGCCCCUGGCUGCCCUGGGCAAAUUCAGGCCUCUCUCCUGCCUGUACAGUGGGUGGCUCUCACUCACUCAUUCAGUUCAGGAGAUUGACACUGGCCCAGAGAGAGCCCAGCCAGCCUGGGGUGGGGGCGGGGGGACCCCUUCAAGAGCAAGAGGUGGCAGGUUCAAGAAGGUAGCCGGUGUGUCAGGCCAGUCAGCUCAGGGGUUCCUAAGCACGAGGAAACCCCACCUGCAGAGCAAGGCCUGACUGCCCUGCACAGAGCUAGCCCAGCCCAGGAUACCUGUCAACCAUGGCAGGCUGGCUGGGUCUCAGCCCUCCCGUGAGUGAUCUCUGGUGGCCCCAGUGGUCCUGGUCUGUACUGAGGGGCAGGAAGGUGGCUCUGCCCUUGCUGGAAGCAGCGGCCAGUCCAGUUCUGGUGAUACCACGCCGGUUUUCCAAAUUAUGUUUCAGGUCCAUUACAUGGGUCAGAGCAGGCCAUGAGGGGAAGGCCAGGAGUGGCAUUGCCCUCCUCCUGCAGCUCAGACCAGGACGUCCCAUGCCAGCUGCUCCACCUGUGGGUCCAGCAAGCACCCUCCAGCAUCUGGGAGCUGGAGUCUGGAUUCUGCCAAGAGGAAAUGGGGUUCACGGGGCCUCCUGGACCCUGAGCCUGGCCUCUCCUGCCACCUCUGCCCCAGGAAGCUCCAGCAUGUUGUCCCAAGCCGAGGCCUUGCCUGCUACCCUCUACCAGACCAUCACGUCCCAGUGGCUCAACAAUGUUCCGUGGAUGUCCAGGCUGCAUGGGCUGCUCCACCUCACUGGAGCUGCUCCAUCAAGCCACCAGGGCCACUCCACCACACAGGGCUGCUCCACCCCACCAGGGCUGCUCCACUCCACCCAGGGCUUCUCCACCCAGCCACCAGGGCUGCUCCACCACACAGGGCUGCUCCACCCAGGCGCCAGGGCUUCUCCACCCCACCAGGGCUGCUCCACCACACUGAGGCUGCCAGUGAGGCCCUACGUGCAUCUGAGGUGGAGCCUCCAGCUCAUUCAUC
Equus caballus (horse) is the source of this 6127-nucleotide long non-coding RNA. NCBI's taxonomy places the organism in Eukaryota, Metazoa, Chordata, Mammalia, Perissodactyla, Equidae. The record is from Ensembl.